RNAcentral lists this ribosomal RNA (977 nucleotides) under Tripos fusus. Its description in RNAcentral is "LSU rRNA". It matches the Rfam family "Eukaryotic large subunit ribosomal RNA", at positions 77 to 989 of the family's 3401-position model. The record is from RNAcentral. Lineage: Eukaryota; Dinophyceae; Gonyaulacales; Ceratiaceae.
UCUUAAGUAAUGGCGAAUGAACAGGGAUAUGCCUAUUGUGGAAAUUGAGGUUGAUGACCUUGAAUUGUUUUCUUCAAACGCUCUUCCAGCAAAGGUGCACAUGUAAAUUUUGUGGAAAAAAAUUCCAAGGAAGGUGACAUGCCUGUCUGAGUUGUGUGACCCUUUGUAUACGGGAUGUGUUUUACAAGUCACGUUCCUUGGAAUUGGAAUGCAAAGUUGGUGGUAAUCUUCACCCAAGGCUAAUUAUUGGUGUGAAACCGAUAGCAAACAAGUACCAUGAGGGAAACAUGAAAAGGACUUUGAAAAGAGGGUUAAAAGUGCUUGAAAUUGCUGAACUGGAAGCGAAGGAUGUCUGAGUGCCGAUGAUAGAUUGCUGCCGUUGCAUGCUGCUUGAUUGGUUUGCGACAUGCAAGCUUGUGCAUGGAGUUAUGCAAGGGUAGUGUUGCUGUCGUGGCGUGCUAGUGCCUUUGUGUGUUGGAGCAUGUGUGUCGAAGCAUGGAAGCUCGCUGGUUGAGUGUGUGAAUGCUCGGUUGUUGCUCAGACACAUUGAGUGUAAUGGUUUCUUUUGGAAUGUAUCAGCUUCCACCUGUGGUUGUGGAUCCUAUUCUUGUGUGCAAGCCAUUGAAACUAGUGAAUGGACAUCUUUCGACCCGUCUUGAAACACGGACCAAGGAGUCUAAUGCAUGUGUGAGCUUUCGGGUAGUUAAGCUUCGUUGCGUAUUGAAGGAAAUAGUUGGUAUAUCUUCUCCAGCAACUAACCAAGCAAUUGUGUGAGGUUUGAGUGGUAGCAUGUGUGUUAGGACCCGAAAGAUGGUGAACUAUGCUUGAGGAAAGCAAAGUCAGGGGAAACUCUGAUGGAGGCUUGUAGCGAUACUGACGUGCAAAUCGUUCGUCAUACUUGAGUAUAGGGGCGAAAGACUAAUCGAACCAUCUAGUAGCUGGUUCCCUCCGAAGUUUCCCUCAGGAUAGCUUGAAUU